AACGGCGAGUGAAGCGGCAAAAGCUCAAAUUUGAAAUCCUGCGGGAAUUGUAAUUUGAAGGUUUCGUGGUCUGAGUCGGCCGCGCCCAAGUCCAUUGGAACAUGGCGCCUGGGAGGGUGAGAGCCCCGUAUGGCGCACGCCGACUCUUUGCACCGCGGCUCCGACGAGUCGAGUUGUUUGGGAAUGCAGCUCUAAGUGGGUGGUAAAUUCCAUCUAAAGCUAAAUAUUGGCGAGAGACCGAUAGCGAACAAGUACAGUGAUGGAAAGAUGAAAAGCACUUUGAAAAGAGAGUGAAACAGCACGUGAAAUUGUUGAAAGGGAAGGGCUUGCAAGCAGACACGGUUUUACCGGGCCAGCGUCGAAAAGGGGGGAGGAACAAGAACUCGAGAAUGUGGCGCGCACCUUCGGGCGCGCGUGUUAUAGCUCGUGUUGACGCCUCCAUCCCUUUUCGAGGCCUGCGAUUCUAGGACGCUGGCGUAAUGGUUGCAAGCCGC
This 494-nucleotide ribosomal RNA is filed under the name Clavispora lusitaniae. RNAcentral's name for it is "eukaryotic LSU rRNA". It matches the Rfam family "Eukaryotic large subunit ribosomal RNA", at positions 85 to 648 of the family's 3401-position model. The record is from RNAcentral. Lineage: Eukaryota; Fungi; Ascomycota; Pichiomycetes; Serinales; Metschnikowiaceae.